GACGAACGCUGGCGGCGUGCUUAACACAUGCAAGUCGAACGGAAAGGCCCUGCUUUUGUGGGGUGCUCGAGUGGCGAACGGGUGAGUAACACGUGAGUAACCUGCCCUUGACUUUGGGAUAACUUCGGGAAACUGGGGCUAAUACCGGAUAGGAGCUCCUGCUGCAUGGUGGGGGUUGGAAAGUUUCGGCGGUUGGGGAUGGACUCGCGGCUUAUCAGCUUGUUGGUGGGGUAGUGGCUUACCAAGGCUUUGACGGGUAGCCGGCCUGAGAGGGUGACCGGCCACAUUGGGACUGAGAUACGGCCCAGACUCCUACGGGAGGCAGCAGUGGGGAAUAUUGCACAAUGGGCGGAAGCCUGAUGCAGCAGCGCCGCGUGCGGGAUGACGGCCUUCGGGUUGUAAACCGCUUUCGCCUGUGACGAAGCGUGAGUGACGGUAAUGGGUAAAGAAGCACCGGCUAACUACGUG
Molecule: ribosomal RNA, 468 nt
Filed under: uncultured bacterium
Lineage: Bacteria
Description: partial 16S ribosomal RNA
Rfam family: Bacterial small subunit ribosomal RNA
Source: RNAcentral